UGAAAGAGAAAGAGGGAGAACUGAGAGGGAGGACCGCGCUGCGAGCCAAUGAGCUCACCGGCUGCUCCGCCUGAGCCAGCAUUUCCUUCCAAAACCAGGCACAGCUUAGGAAAAUCACUAGUUUUUACCAUUACAUCUGAAUCUCUUUGUAACUUCUUUAGACUAUGGCCCGGUCACCAUGGAAACACAACAAGCUGCAUCUGCCUGCUCUUCUAAUAAGAAGCACUUGACGCUUUAACCCUGAGGUUGUCAAACAUUCUCUACAAGAUACUGCACCGUGUUUAGGAAAGGACCCCGUGAACUGCGGACGCUGCCUCCGAAAAUGAUUUAGCCAGUACCGAGUACCGUUACUCCCCGUCAGAGGUCAGGCCAUCUGCUGCAGGAAACAGUGCAGAUGGUUCAGGGACUUGCAUCCAGGACUACAAGAUGAAAUGGAACUCCAGCAAGAAGCAAAUGGGAAGACCAGAAACGAAGGCCAAAAUGUAUUUUUUGACCAUUUUCUGGAAAACAGAGAUUAAGAGGAAUUAAAGUGGUUCUCCAGGAUUGUUCAAGGUCACCAUGCUAUUAAAACAAGACUUGAAUUCAGGCAUUGGAUUCCAAAGACACUCAUUGGCCUAUACAUCCUACAGAAAUAGACACAGUAAGUUGGCCACUGAGAAAACUAACAGAAUGGGGUGACUCUCAAUAGGAAAGAAGAUGGAAAGCACUUUAGAAGAUACAACUGUCUUUUGAAACACAACAAAGAAGAAAAUAGACAAAUGGGGAAAAUUAAAUUACAAAGAUAAAUGGAGAACAAAACAACAAUAAAAGAA
This is a long non-coding RNA of Neogale vison (American mink), 812 nucleotides long. RefSeq lists it as uncharacterized. The record is from RefSeq and is a predicted model, not a curated record. The transcript has 3 exons. NCBI's taxonomy places the organism in Eukaryota, Metazoa, Chordata, Mammalia, Carnivora, Mustelidae.